RNAcentral lists this ribosomal RNA (506 nucleotides) under uncultured bacterium. RNAcentral describes it as "partial 16S ribosomal RNA". It matches the Rfam family "Bacterial small subunit ribosomal RNA", at positions 28 to 523 of the family's 1533-position model. The record is from RNAcentral.
GAUGAACGCUAGCUACAGGCUUAACACAUGCAAGUCGAGGGGUAACGAGAGGAAAGCUUGCUUUCCUUGUCGACGACCGGCGCACGGGUGAGUAACGCGUAUCCAACCUGCCCCCAACUAGGGAAUAACCUUGCGAAAGUAAGACUAAUACCCUAUAAUUUCCUCAGAUGUCAUCUGACGAGGAAUAAAGAUUUAUCGGUUGUGGAUGGGGUUGCGUCUGAUUGGCUUGUUGGCGGGGUAACGGCCCACCAAGGCAACGAUCAGUAGGGGUUCUGAGAGGAAGGUCCCCCACAUUGGAACUGAGACACGGUCCAAACUCCUACGGGAGGCAGCAGUGAGGAAUGUUGGUCAAUGGGCGGAAGCCUGAACCAGCCAAGUAGCGUGCAGGAUGACGGCCCUAUGGGUUGUAAACUGCUUUUAUACAGGAAUAAAGUUAGCCACGUGUGGUUAUUUGUAGGUACUGUAUGAAUAAGGACCGGCUAAUUCCGUGCCAGCCGCCGCCGUAA